ACGCUCGACACCUACGGAAGGCAGCAGUGGGGAAUAUUGCACAAUGGGGGAAACCCUGAUGCAGCGACGCCGCGUGAGCGAAGAAGUAUUUCGGUAUGUAAAGCUCUAUCAGCAGGGAAGAUAAUGACGGUACCUGACUAAGAAGCUCCGGCUAAAUACGCGCCAGCAGCCGCGGUAAUCUGAGCGGGCUGGCAAGGC
Molecule: ribosomal RNA, 198 nt
Filed under: uncultured bacterium
Lineage: Bacteria
Description: partial 16S ribosomal RNA
Rfam family: Bacterial small subunit ribosomal RNA
Source: RNAcentral